RNAcentral lists this ribosomal RNA (473 nucleotides) under uncultured organism. RNAcentral describes it as "partial 16S ribosomal RNA". It matches the Rfam family "Bacterial small subunit ribosomal RNA", at positions 335 to 799 of the family's 1533-position model. The record is from RNAcentral.
ACUCCUGCGGGAGGCAGCAGUGGGGAAUUUUGGACAAUGGGCGAAAGCCUGAUCCAGCAAUGCCGCGUGUGUGAAGAAGGCCUUCGGGUUGUAAAGCACUUUUGUCCGGAAAGAAAUCCUUGGCUCUAAUACAGUCGGGGGAUGACGGUACCGGAAGAAUAAGCACCGGCUAACUACGUGCCAGCAGCCGCGGUAAUACGUAGGGUGCGAGCGUUAAUCGGAAUUACUGGGCGUAAAGCGUGCGCAGGCGGUUUGCUAAGACCGAUGUGAAAUCCCCGGGCUCAACCUGGGAACUGCAUUGGUGACUGGCAGGCUAGAGUAUGGCAGAGGGGGGUAGAAUUCCACGUGUAGCAGUGAAAUGCGUAGAGAUGUGGAGGAAUACCGAUGGCGAAGGCAGCCCCCUGGGCCAAUACUGACGCUCAUGCACGAAAGCGUGGGGAGCAAACAGGAUUAGAUACCCCUGUAGUCCCAUG